GAAACUUUCUCACUUCUUUCCUUCUCAUUACUCACUCACUUCCUCAUGUCUGGCCUCUCUCCCUCCAUAGUCUAUUGAGCGCUUUCUCAGAUUUGGCCUCUCUGUCGAGUCUCUCCAGCAGCGCCACUCGAUCUCUCUCUCUCAAUUAUCGCUUGAAGCCUCUCUCUCGGUCUCAGGGGUCGCGGCCUCACCUUUGUCGGUCUGCCAUCAAUCAGCUCUCUUAGCUAUUGCUCCAUAAGAGAAAGCUGGCCUUUUGGAAGGCUCAAAGCCUAGUCUGCCUUGGUCAUUUCAGCAUCAGAAACCCUGGAAGAACCAGCAAAGCUCUCGCUCCUCUCUGAAUUCCGCCUCCUCUCUCUCUCUCUCUCUCUCAGGGGUUUCGCUCCUUCUCGAGUCGUAACACUCAACCUGAGACUUUCCUCCCGACCAGGGUUCACGCCGCACGUGCCCCCCUCGGCUGAGGACGUGGGUCGCGAGGACUGCCACGCUCCUGGAGAGUUCCUCAGAAGCAUCCUCCUGCGAUCGGAUCCCUUGCCGUCGCUGUGUUCGGAUCCUCGACGUGGGUGAAGUGCUCAGGUAUUAGGGUCGAGCGAGGCUUCGAUGAGCGACCUAAGCGAAAAGGAAGAGUGGAAGUCGCUACUCAUCUUGAUCGUGUCUCUCUGGCCGUAGAAAUCUCCUCAAGCACCACCUUAAAAAAGAAAAAGAAAAAAGAAGUCACCUGUAGCAUCAAUCUGGGCCGUUAUAUGGCGAACGAAGAGGCCAACUCAGGAACUGCACCUAGCGGCAACUACGAUGUGUUCUUGAGCUUUCGAGGACCCGACACCCGCAACACAUUCGCAGAUUGCCUCUUUGUGUUCCUGAAAAUCAGGGGAAUCCGCGUUUUUAGGGAUGACGAAGAGUUACGGCUGGGAGAAAAGAUCUCGGCGAUCUUGCGAGCAGUAGAAAACUCCCGAAUAUACAUUCCUAUUUUCUCCAAAAACUAUGCUUCGAGCAGGUGGUGCCUCCGAGAGCUGAAAUGCAUGGUGGAGAGCCAUGGCCAAACCCUGGGGAAACAGAUAAUACCUAUCUUUUACGAUGUGGAGCCUAGGGAUGUUAAGCUUGAAACGGAGCUGUACCAAAGCGCCCUAACAAAGCAUGAGGAGGACCUCGGCUGCACUGAAGUGAAGCAAUGGAAGGAGGCCUUGACCACGGUGGCUAGAAUCAAGGGGUGGCAUAUAAAAGAUAAAAGGCAAGGUGAGGUUAUCGAGGAUAUUGUUAAGGAUGUAUUGCUGAAGAUCAAUACAACAAAAAGAGAUUUGCCCGCCCAUCUAGUUGGAAUUGAUAAUCGUGUAGAGGACAUAAAGAGACUAUUAAAUUGUUAUUAUACUAGUGAUGUGCGAUUUGUCAUAAUCCAUGGGAUAGGUGGCAUGGGAAAGACAACGCUUGCCAAUGCAGUCUUCAAUCAACUCUCUCCUCAAUUUGAAGGUCACUCCUUCCUUUCAAACAUCCAAGACCUUGGCAUUGAAAAACUUCAGAAAAAAUUACUAGCGGAUCUUUUCCAUUUCUUACUUCCUGAAACCUUUGACUGUCAGGAAGGGAACAAUUUGAUUAGAAAAAUGUUACCUAACAAACAAGUCUUGCUUGUUUUUGAUGGCAUGGAUGAAAAUGAUCAAUCUAUGCAACUAGCGAAGUAUUGUACUUUGUGCGGUCCAGGGAGUAGGAUCAUCAUAACAACCACAAGUAAGAGUGUUUUUUCUAGGAUCGAGGUGGAAGGAUUUGAGGAAAAUGUCUCAACAAGGUCUACAAAAAUUAUUCCGUACGAAAUGAAGAAAAUGCAUUUGGAUCAUGCUCUUCAACUUUUCAACAAGCUUGCUUUCAACACAUAUUCAGCUCCACCUGAUCUAUAUGAUCUUUCAAAAGAAGUCAUUGAAUUCACCGGAGGACUUCCAUUGGCCGUUGAGGUGAUAGGUUCACAUCUCCGUGGCCAAAGCAAAGCACAGUGGAUAAGCACACUGGAUCAACUGAAGAAAGUGCCUCACAAAAAGGUCCAACAGAGGUUAAAAAUUAGUUAUGAUGCACUUGAAUAUCGGCAGCAACAAAUCUUUCUGGAUAUCGCAUGUUUCUUUGUUAACAAGAAAAUAACUAUUCCAAUGUAUAUGUGGGAAGACUCAGGCUUUCACCCGAGAUUUGAAAUUGAGGUUCUUAUUGGCAAGUCCUUGAUCAAGAUUGUUGACCAUAAUAGAAUAUGGAUGCAUGAUCAGUUAAAAGCUUUUGGAAGGGAAAUUGUUCGUCAAGAGCAUAUGAGGAAACCUGAAGAUCGAAGCAGAUUUUGGUUUCUUGAGAGGCCCAUGAAAAGGGAGUAGAGAAUGCAGUAGCGCUUACACCACGGAGAUUGGGAGACAAUUUUACAUGCAAAUAUUUUGCUGAUCUCACCAACGCGAGGUUUCUAAAAUUGGAUGGAGGGAACUUUGCUGGCAACUUUGAGGAUAUUUUGCCGAAGCUAAGAUGGCUUUGUUGGCAAAAUUGUCCUCCGGAACUUGAAGCGAAAAAGUUUGUGUUGAAUCACUUAGUCAUUCUUAAGCUUUCAGGCGAUAUCAUCAUAGACAAAUGGAGUGAAUGGGUCAAAAUCAUGGUAGCAAGUAAACUGAAAGUUUUGAAAAUAGCGGGGUCGAAGUCCUUAAUCAAAACACCUUGUUUUUCAGAAUUUAUGAGUUUGGAGAGAUUGGUUCUGGAAGAUCUUCCAAAUUUGGUACAAAUUGAUCACUCAAUUGGAAAACUAGAGCGGUUGAUUUACUUGAAGAUCAAAUGGUGUCCGCUCCUUAGAGGGUUGCCCUGGCAAAUUGGUUAUCUAAAUGCCUUGAGACAGGUCAUCUUGAUCCAGGGUUUCAGCAUUUGUUAUUUGCCAGACUCAAUCGGCAAUCUAAGACUUUUGUCAAGGCUAGUAGUGGAGGAUACGGGAUUAGUUGAACUUCCGAGCACAAUCAAAGGGCUAGCGGAUCUUGAGUACUUAAGUUUGGCGAAUUGUACGAGUCUAAAUUCGCUACCGGAUGCUUUGGAGGAGUUGAAGUCAUUGACUGAGUUGGAUCUAUCUGGGACAACCAUCGAGGAACUACCUCAUUCGCUUUAUAAUCUCAAGGAUCUAAUAUUACGGAUAAACAGUAGUAAGAUAAGAGCACGACUGGUGAGGGACUUGCCUUUCUUGGAAGGUAGUGAGGAUUGCUUGGACUCUAUAAGACUUGAAGCAAAUUGGGAAAGUGAACCAAAGAAUUUGAAGGAAGCGCAUCUCGAAAACGUCCGACAGGAGUUCAUGAGGGAAGUGUCAUUCAUAGGAAAUUCAAUGAGGAAAUGUGCGUAUUUAGUAGAGAAUUCAAUGAGGAAAGUGCCUCUUGAAAAGGUUCAACAGAAGCCUCUCAAAAAGUUCGACAGAAUUCAAUCAAUGAAGUGCCUCUCGAAAGAGCCCAACAGAAAUUAAUGUUAAUAUAUGAGGGACUUGAAUAUCGGGAUAAACAAAUUUUCCUGGACAUUGCAAGUAUCUUUCUAAGCAAGAAAAAAACUGAUGCAGUGUAUAUACGGAAAGGUUGUGCGAAAGUUGAAAUUGACACCCUUGUCAGUAAGUCCUUAAUCAAGAUUCUUGGUCAUGGCAAAGUGUGGAUGCAUGAUUGGGUGAUAGAUUUUGGGAGGGAAAUUAUUCAUCAAGAGAAUAUCGAGAUAUCUAGAGAUCAAAGCAGAUUGCAGUUUCUCAGGUUGGUCAAUGGAACGGUAAGUGCGAAUAACCCUAUUUUAUUCCUUCCUACCCUAGUACGUGUCUAAGAGUUCAUCUCUUGCACAUUCCCUUCUUCAUUAUUACUUGCUAAGAAACCCGUGCCACUGGAAAUACUGGUGAAUUACUUCUAUUUUUUCUUAAAAGAGAAAAUUGCUAAUUAUCUGAUUCUUUUCACUAACAAGUGCUGCACCCAUUUCCGAUUUGUGUGUGUGUGUGUGUUUUUUUUUUGUUAAAGAUAAGAUAAAAACAUUUGAAAACAAUAGAAAUUGGGUUUAGCAGAACAUUUGAAAUUGUCCAUUACAUAUGACCGAAAAAAGAAGAAGAAGAACUCGUCCAUUACAUAAUCAUACCAAUACAAUUAUCUUCUAACUUUGCAAUUCUUCUAAUUGAUAUAUGAUGAACAAAAAAAGGUAUCUAAGGUUUUUUGAAAUUGUUGGGUCUCCAGAAUUAAGUAUCUUUUAAAAAGGUUACAUCAGUAAUGUCUGGUAAAGCAAAAGAAAAAAAGAUUUCCCUCAUUUCUCGAAUCUAAACUCAAACUCCAUCACUCACUACUAAAAUCAUAAUUGCGAAAAUGCAUACAUCCAUCAACAAUCUGAUAAAAUUAACAACAGCCAAGUUUCUCAAUCCUAUCAACAUUAGCGAAAAUUAUGAAUAGGACAAUUUCGCUGAUGAGUAAGCGGAUUAUUAAGUACCAAAUCAUUUCCAUGGAAUCAAACACAAUCAUUAUUAUUGUACAUUCAUCAGUCCCAAAUCACUGCAUCCUUAGAAGUAAAAGUUUCACUUUAAAUGAGUACUCCAGAAUCCUUUCCCGUUGUCGAUAUGGCAACGAUUUCUUCUUUUUAUCCUUUGUACAAAGGCCAGAAGCCCGAGAUAAAGCGCACUCAAUAAUAGACGAGGCGAAAAGGAAAUCAAACCUUAGGUCUUCAGCUGUGUGUGUGUGUGUGUGUGUUCAGCUUCAAUUUCCAUCACCAGCGCAGCCUAUUUCUAGGCCUUCUUCGACCGAUAUUCCUUAUCAAACAUCUCUGAACAUUGCAUGCUGGCCAUUCAUUAGCACUCAUUCACAAGACAAGCUAGAAUUAUGUGGACUGAUCUAAAAAAUUCAGCAUGAUGGAUCAAUUUUGUACAGGAGCACAGCAUAUACACUAUUAUGACGUCAAUCGUCUUGGUCAUUUUUUUUAUGAGACGGAUGCUCCCACUGUCAGGAGAAUCUGACAGCUGGGACACAGCCUCCAAAGAAGACUGGAGCAUGGCUACGAUGCUUGACAGGAGAAACUCAGGGAUGCUUUUAUCUUACAAGUCCAUCUCGAUGAUCGUGUCUUUUCUGUCGUGGAUUUCGGUGAUCGGGGGUAAGUUAUCCAUCCUCAGGUCAACAUGGAAAAGGGACUACCAGAAGGCAGAAUAUAGGUCAAGCGUAAUGGCGCGGCUAAUAAUUUUACCCUCAGUGCUUUCCAUAUGUCUGUUAGGUGUUAUGACCUUGGCGGAUCGUAAACUCCCUCGGCUUGGCGAUGCCAAAUCUACUUUGUUACUCGGUCUCAUUGUUCGGAUCGCAAUCUCAGAAAAUGUGUUGCCUGAACGGGCUUAUUUCUUUCGGAUCCUCGUCGGACGCUUCCGUCUUCUUCUAGCUUGGUCUCGCUUAUAUUAAUCGGUGGGGGAACUGAGACAUACCUUAUGGAUGACUCCAAAGAGGAGAGAAUGGUGGCUGGACUUCUGCUCGCUAGUGAAUCGAAUAACCGAUUACUUUGCGACAACCAAAUGUGGGGAGGUGCCACGUCCUCCCAAUCACUGGUUUCCUUUUUUUUUUUUUUUUUUUGCCAAUCACUAGUUCCAGUUGAUCAUUUGAUAUUAUCGAUGAUUUGCGGGAAAUAAAUAUGUAUUAGCCUUGGUGUAUUUGCUAAUUUUACUAUGGCUUUCCUAUUGCGUUAAAUCAACGGUGUUUGUAACAGUACUUGAAUUAAUCCCCGUUUCUAUUUAUUAGCUUAAAUUUUU
Molecule: RNA transcript, 5725 nt
Organism: Eucalyptus grandis
Lineage: Eukaryota; Viridiplantae; Streptophyta; Magnoliopsida; Myrtales; Myrtaceae
Gene name: disease resistance protein RUN1-like
Exons: 5
Source: RefSeq, a predicted model, not a curated record